This is a long non-coding RNA of Lathyrus oleraceus (garden pea), 3157 nucleotides long. RefSeq lists it as uncharacterized. The transcript is spliced from 4 exons. Lineage: Eukaryota; Viridiplantae; Streptophyta; Magnoliopsida; Fabales; Fabaceae. The record is from RefSeq and is a predicted model, not a curated record.
AAACAUAAUUGACGAUGAUGACGAACACGAGCACAACUUCUGAGCGCCUCUCUUACUCUUCUCGCAAUGUUGGACCGAAUUGGAAGCGUGUGAGCGAUAACGUUCUUCGAGCUUCGAAGCUUCCGGCGGUGGAGGUGGCUUAGCUCUGCCGUGUAGAGCUUCGAGUGAUGAAGCUCUCACAAUAAUGGGAGAUGAGCGUGUACUGAAGGUGGGAGGGAAGCGAUUGCAGGAUGCUUUUCGAAUGAGGGGGAAAAAGUCUGAACCCCAAUGAUUGGCAAUGAUUGCCUCUUAUAUAAGCUUGAUCCAAGAGGGCAAUUUGGAUAAUUGGAUCUGAAAUUAAAUCUGAAUCGUCCAGCUGGCAUCUAAGUGAAGGACAUGGUUGCUGAAUUGGUGCUUGUGAGUGAGGGUGCCGUUGUGGAUCCUUCGAUUGCUCUUUCGUUGUGGUCGAGCAUUGGUUGUAAUCUGGCUCUGGACAGAUUGAGAUUGAGAAAGCAUACCGGAAUAAGACCUAUCAUUUGAUGACUCGCCACCAGCUGCCCUUUUAUCAAGUCUAAGCUCUUCUUGCGUAUCAGGGUCGUGAGGUCAAGUACAGGUCUUGAUCGGGACAAUAUACCACUCAUGAAACAACCAAUCCUUUCCGUAACGGAUGACGGCACAUCUGCGGCUUAUACGCGUAUUGCAUAAGGUGCUGCAAUAUUUUGCAACAUUUCGUGACAGGAUGAAAGUGAUUCUGCAAGUGAGAUUCAACCGCUGAUUGGUUGCAAAUGAUCAAAUGCAGGUUGAGUUUACUGGUUAUGGUUGUAGCAUGCAGAUGGUUUUACAUUGGUGCAGGAACCUUGAUUUCUAAUCAACUGAUUUUGGUUACAAGGAUGUUUCUUGUAACAUGGCAUUAAUGUGGACUUGUGCAACCAGUGUUGCAGCAUUUAUGCACAUCCUGCAGGUCUGUUUUGGUUCUGUAAUAGGGCUUGUUGCGAUGGCUGAUGCAUUGUGGGACGGUAUCGUAUCAGUGGGCACUCUGCAGGUUGGGAUCUCAUGCAGGAUCAGUUUGCUUCGUUUGGCAAUGCGUUGCCUUCUGCACCCAGUUGUGGAACACUUCGAGAACAACACAUUGAUGCCCUUUGCACGAACACGGGGAUGCUUGUGCUUAAGGUAUGGUUGCGAUUUUGGCAACAACGAAAUAGGGGAAAAUCCAAUUAGUCAUUGAUACCAAGGCUUUUUUCGCUGCUGUUUGGUUUACUUCUCCCUGGAAGGAGCUUUGAAGCUUUGUGGCCGACACAUAAGCCAGUGGAAGAGUAUAGUAGAGAGCCUUCACGUAUAUGAGAUCUUCACUGCAAAGCUCUAUCAGGGACCGGAGGAAUUUGACCAUCAGUUUCUUCUUUCGCAUCGGUGAAUUCAAAUUCAGAUUUCUUGUCCUUAUUAAUAAUAGCAUAGGUGUCAUUCCCUUUUUCAAUAGCACGCCUUCCUUGACAAGGUUGUCAAUGAUCUCUUCAAUCAGAACCACUGUCUGGAAAAUUUGAUAGAACAUCAGUAAGAUCAAUGGUAUCCAGGUGACAAUAGGUGAGCCACUCCUUGACCCGAACCAAAUGUUGCUCAUCUUCAACAGGGUCCUGGGCAUUCUCUUCACCUUCAGAGCUAAGACAAAAUGCUUGCUGUUUACAUUUCCGACCUCCAUUUUUAAUGGAUUUUUCACCCAAGGAUGAUUCACUUCUUCUUCUGUGCAUUCCCUGAAGAAAGGAGGCUCAUAAUCCGUUGGCGUCACUUCGUCACAAUAGAGGAUCCAGUGAAUCUAUUAUAAGAUCACUCUAUGUAGAGAAAAUGUCAGCAGAUGUCAUAACGGUCGGUUCAAGUUCUUGGAUUCAAGGUAUUCUAUUUCUACAAUUCCAACCUCUACAACAAAACCCACAGGGACAACCUGAUUUCCCUUAACAUGUGGGAAACCAAAGCGGGACAGUUUUUUCUUCUUUUGACAUUCUUCAAUAUUUUCAUUAGCAUUGUCAACCAGAGGCUUCAUCAAACAUGUCCUACCGGAGCCCCCGCUAUUUCCUUUCAGUUACAGGAAUGAUAUUGAGGUCCUUAGGUGCUGUCUUCUCAUUAAUUCUCCUAACAUCUGUCACUGUAGCGUUGCAAAAGAAACAUCUUUGACAGGGAGUCUUGGAUAUUAGUUGGAUACUGUGAUUUUCUUGUUGUAGAAUUUAAUUGUGGAAGGAAUGAAUGAUGCAAGUCAACUGUCAUGAAGCCGUUCCGCUGCAGCUGCAAUGCAUAUACCGUGUUUAUGCUGUUCGCGUAUUACCCCGGUUCAUGCUCGUGGCAAGUGUUUCUCUGAUGUAAACUUUCUGUUGCCGCUGCUGAAUCCAUCUUUGCAGAUUAUGCUGUGUUGGUCUGUUGUGGUAGCCUGGGAGGCAUGUUGGGUUAAUUGUCGGUUGUACUGCAUUUUUGCAUGUUCCGAACCAGAUCCACAUGAUGAAGCUUUUGCAUUCAACGAACUAUUAGCACCUAAGCUCAUGUUUGCAGAAGAUUGAUGUGGAUGCAUAUAAGGCAUUACAUUACCAACUACAGCAGAUUGUUUCGAAGAUCCUCGAGCAUCUCGACUAUGAAGACUGAACUGCUACACUGCCAUGUCACUGGAGUUUCCAGCAACACCAGCAUUGAUGGGUAAGUCCCAAUGGCAGGUCCAUGAGCUGAAGGCUUUUCUUCUUUCUUCUCAUCAGGAGCUAGCUGAUGUCCAUGCUCUAUCCUCUUUUCAUCAUGAGAAAAAUGUUCAGAUGAAUUCCUAGAAGUUGAUCCUUGGCCAUGACUCGGUGCCUGCAUUGCCAUAAGCUCCUGCAAUUUAAAAUUUCCAAUUCGCAUUUCUUGAUCCUUAACAGAUGUGGGACCUGUCAUUUCCAUUUUAGAUUGCUGUUGUGACUGUAUUGCCAAAGCAGACUUUUGUUGAGAACGCUGGAGAGCCUAUUGAUAAUAUGCUUGCUGGACAGGACUUAACACCUGCUGCUCAAUGCCUUGACCCUGGUUAGUGCUAAUGUUGAUAUUGAAAAGUUUGCAUGGAAAGGUUGAAUUGGAUGAUGUGAAUGUGUGGGAAUUAAGAUUAUGUAUGGAUUUGUGAUUGUGUAAUGGAUAUUGGACUUGGAUUUAAUUGGACACAGUUGGAUUCAAUUUCAAA